RNAcentral lists this ribosomal RNA (482 nucleotides) under uncultured bacterium. Its description in RNAcentral is "bacterial SSU rRNA". It matches the Rfam family "Bacterial small subunit ribosomal RNA", at positions 24 to 518 of the family's 1533-position model. The record is from RNAcentral.
UCAGGACGAACGCUGGCGGCGUGCUUAACACAUGCAAGUCGAACGGGGACUUCGGUCCUAGUGGCGAACGGGUGAGUAAAGUGCAAAUAACCUGCCUCAAAGAUGGGGACAACAGCUCGAAAGGGUUGCUAAUACCGAAUGUUGUAUAGAGAGGGCAUCCUGAUUAUACUAAAGAUUUAUCGCCUUGAGAGGGGUUUGCAUCCGAUUAGGCAGUUGGCGGGGUAAAAGCCCACCAAACCGACGAUCGGUAACCGGUCUGAGAGGAUGAACGGUCACAUUGGAACUGAGACACGGUCCAGACUCCUACGGGAGGCAGCAGUGGGGAAUAUUCCACAAUGGAGGGAACUCUGAUGGAGCGACGCCGCGUGAGUGAAGAAGGGUUUAGGCUCGUAAAGCUCUUUUCUUGCAGAUGAAUGACUUAUUAGAUAAGUAGGGACAGUAUGUAAGGAAUAAGCCACGGCUAACUACGUGCCAGCCGCGGC